Molecule: ribosomal RNA, 422 nt
Filed under: uncultured bacterium
Lineage: Bacteria
Description: partial 16S ribosomal RNA
Rfam family: Bacterial small subunit ribosomal RNA
Source: RNAcentral
AAUUUUGGACAAUGGGGGAAACCCUGAUCCAGCCAUCCCGCGCGUAUGAUGAAGGCACUCGGGUUGUAAAGUAAUUUUGGCAGAGAAGAAAAGGUAUCUCCUAAUACGAGAUAAUGUUGACGGUACCUGAAGAAUAAGCACUGGCUAACUAGGUGCCUGCAGCCGCGGUAAUACGUAGGGUGCAAGCGUUAAUCGGAAUUACUGGGCGUAAAGCGUGUGUAGGCGGUUCGGAAAGAAAGAUGUGAAAGCCCAGGGCUCAACCUUGGAACUGCAUUUUUAACUGCCGAGCUAGAGUAUGUCAGAGGGGGGUAGAAUUCCACGUGUAGUAGUGAAAUGCGUAGAUAUGUGGAGGAAUACCGAUGGCGAAGGCAGCCCCCUGGGAUAAUACUGACGCUCAGACACGAAAGCGUGGGGAGCAAACA